CCUACGUGAGGCAGCAGUAGGGAAUAUUGCUCAAUGGGGGAAACCCUGAAGCAGCAACGCCGCGUGGAGGAUGAAGGUUUUAGGAUUGUAAACUCCUUUUGUCAGAGAAGAUUAUGACGGUAUCUAACGAAUAAGCACCGGCCAAUUCCGUGCAAGAAGCCGCGGUAAUACGGAGGGUGAAAGCGUUACUCGGAAUCACGGGGCGUAAAGAGUGCGUAGGCGGGGGAAUAAGUCAGAUGUGAAAUCCCGUAGCUUAACUACAGAACUGCCUUUGAAACUGUUAAUCUGGAGUGUGGGAGAGGUAGGUGGAAUUCUUGGUGUAGGAGUAAAAUCCGUAGAGAUCCAGAGGAAUACUCAUGGCGAAGGCGACCUGCUGGAACAUUACUGACGCUGAUGAACGAAAGCGUGGGGAGCAAACAGGAUUAGAUACCCUAGUAGUC
RNAcentral lists this ribosomal RNA (440 nucleotides) under uncultured bacterium. RNAcentral describes it as "partial 16S ribosomal RNA". It matches the Rfam family "Bacterial small subunit ribosomal RNA", at positions 338 to 795 of the family's 1533-position model. The record is from RNAcentral.